Molecule: long non-coding RNA, 873 nt
Organism: Cyprinus carpio (common carp)
Lineage: Eukaryota; Metazoa; Chordata; Actinopteri; Cypriniformes; Cyprinidae
Source: Ensembl
UUACAAUACACAAAAUGACCACUAGAUGACAUCCCAACUCCAUUUUCUAAUUUGAAAACUUAACACAUUGUAACUUAUGAAUGAUUUGGACUACUGGCCUAGCACGAUUUUUACAGAGGGGGCCAAAGUAAAUAUGCUGUUCAGGGGGCCCAUAAACCAUAGCAGUGCCUCUGAGUAGAACUUGAGUAGACUGGUAGGAUUAGGGUUAGAAUAAGUUGACAUACUUGCAAAGUUACUUAUAGUCAGUAGAAUAUCUGUUGGGAGACCAUCACAAUAAAGAGUUAGCAGAUAUUAAUCAAACAGUCUACUAAUACUCUUAUUGUCAACAGAAUGCUCAAAAGGGACUAUCAAAAUAAAGUGUUACCAAAGACACUUAGGAAUAUAGGCUACUGCUGAAGGGAAAGCAAGUAUCAAUAAGUGACAUUAAAGUCAUAUAAGCUAAAGUUUAUUGUAAAGUAAAUGUAAUGUAAACGUCACAGAUGCAGGCCUUAAGCAAAGGCACCUAAAGUCACUGAUGUCAGCGAUGUUAUCUGUUCAGUCACUAGAGGGAGCUACAGUUGUGUCAUCUGCUUUAGCUGAUCAUACUACAGACUUAUAUAGAGUUGUACAGCAGGUAUAGCAAUAUAUAUUAGCAGGUCUACAGUUAUUACCUAAAGAUAAUGACGAAUUACACUAAUGACCCUUGACGCUUUAAAUAGUAUGACGUAACACAUCCUCCUUCACAGAAAUCACGUGAUUUGGAGGGUUUGACGAGAGCUCAUGAAAACUGAUCGCUGCUGUCUUCCAGUUUGGAUGCGGCCAAAGCGCGACAUUAUUAUGAGGAACCACUCUUUCCUUUUUUGGGGUUUUAUUACUCGUGAACGAUCCAGAUGA